Molecule: long non-coding RNA, 457 nt
Organism: Anneissia japonica
Lineage: Eukaryota; Metazoa; Echinodermata; Crinoidea; Comatulida; Comatulidae
Exons: 3
Source: RefSeq, a predicted model, not a curated record
GACUACGAAGGAGACUUUACAAUUAAUAACAAAUCUCAAGACAGACAGUGUAUAUUUAAAUUGGACCUCAUUGGAAAUGGGCUGGACUCUCGCCUAAUGGGCGUUCCUGAUGCUCAUUACGAGAUGUAGACAAAGAAUCCCCAACUAUCAGGAAAGAAUGUCCAGGCUCAAUCGUGAAAGGGCAACAGAACUUUCCAAUUAUACAUAGAGCCAAAAAUUGUGUCAUUCAUCAAGCUUCCUGCAAAUAUUCUGGAUAUGAAAUUAAUUAAAAUAUAGUGUAAAUUUAUUUUUUAAAUGUUAUUCUGUGCAAUAAUCUCAAAAAUAAUGUUAGCAAUAUGUAGUAAUUCUUGUAGGCUUUAUGUUUAUUAAUAUUGUAUUAUUACUGCUAAUGUUUAUGUUAUUAAUAGAGAGUAACCCGUUUGUUGUAAAGAAUAUAGAUGUAAGAUAAUAAGAUAUA